AUGUUAUUAUUAGAUCCAAAAGGAUUUUUUUUUUUUUUUGAGAUAUAGGUAGCACGCUACCCGCUUCGUUUAUUUCAUUUAGAAAUAAACUUAGCUGGAAAUGUGAAUCAACUAGGAUUCGAACUUGGGUCUCAAGUACCAAUCACCAUGCCCUUUACUACUUGCUCUAGGGACAGUCGGUAAUCCAAAAGGAUUUUUGAUAG
This 203-nucleotide long non-coding RNA is filed under the name Ananas comosus (pineapple). Its description in RNAcentral is "long non-coding RNA (ACOM_LNC025291)". The record is from RNAcentral. Lineage: Eukaryota; Viridiplantae; Streptophyta; Magnoliopsida; Poales; Bromeliaceae.